CUGUGUAUACCGCCAUGCCGCGCUCGGCACCCGCGCACCGGCCGCCCGUGCAGCCCCCACCGCCGCCUCUUUCCCACAGCCCCGGCCCUGCCUCCCGCGGGAGCCGCCGCCCCGGCCUCCUGCACCCGCCACCGCCACCCCGGCCGCAGGCGGGCACCCCGCCGCCCGACGGGGCAGGGGCUGGGCUCGGCGAGGGAGAGGCGCGGCCGCCAGACGGUGACAGCGGCGGCCAUGGCUCCCGCCGCGGCGCUGACAGGCUGACAGCCGAGAGCCGCUGCCCGCCGCAGCCGUGCCCCUGCGCGGGGCAGCGUAGGGCCGGGCUCGGCGCCCCGCGGGGCCGGGAGGGUGCGGCGCACGCCUGCCCGGGAGACAGGGCAGCAGAUACAGCCCCCGAAGCGGGCACCGGGUGCGUCCUCGCACACCGGCAGGCUGCAGUUAAAGGGUCUCGCUGCGUUUGGGAGAAGCCCCUGGAGGCAGGAACACACACACAAGGGAGUACUUAGAGGCUGGUACUACGUUCACCUAAUUCAGAGACAGCAGCUCUGUCUCAGGUUCUGUGACACAUCAGGGCUGGCCUCAGAAAUGCCACAGCUACAUCUGCAGUCUGGCAUCACAGGUGAUGAAGAUUGAAGCACAAUCUCCAUGGAGCCUGUUCUGAUGCAGGUAUCCCUGACCUCAUUACCGUGGGAUACUGGCAACCUGCUCAGGAUACAGAUCCUGGAGAAUGAGAUCAGAAUUAAGGACACAGUGUUGGAAAGUGUACUGUGUUAAAUCUCAGAGCAUUUAAGGCUGGAAGAGAUCUUCAGAGGUCUUCUGGGCCAAACCCUGCUGCUCAGGCACAGCCACUCAGAGCUGCUUGAACAGGAUUAUGUCUGAGUGGCUUCUUUGGAAUAUCUCCAACAUGACAGACCCCACAUCAUCACCUGUGCCAGUGCUUGAUCACCCUCAUAGUAAAAAAAGCAUUUCUUGA
This is an RNA transcript of Colius striatus (speckled mousebird), 970 nucleotides long. It is a transcript of the gene named basic proline-rich protein-like, with no coding region annotated. The record is from RefSeq and is a predicted model, not a curated record. Lineage: Eukaryota; Metazoa; Chordata; Aves; Coliiformes; Coliidae. The transcript has 4 exons.